CCUCUCCUUGUCUUUCUGUUUUAGAAAGUUUGGUAUUAAAGGCAACUUCUGCUGAGAUUCUAAAUGUUUUGACUUGUGGACACCAUACUGUGAGCAUGUGAGGGCCUGGGUAUCAUCUAAAAGGAAGCGGAGGCCCAGGUGGGGUAAAGGAUUGUGCCACAGGUCAAUGGAAUAAGCUGCUGAGAUCAGAACGUUGCUCCAGGGGUCUGCAGAAAUGGCUGAGUUGGUCAAGUGUUUGCCACGCAAGCAAGAGGACCUCAGGUCAAUGCCCAGAACCAUGUCUCAAAGCUGGGCAUGGGAGUGUGUGCCGGGGAAGCAGAGAAAGAGUGUCCCUGGAACUCUGACAACUAGCCUAAUCAGCAUGUUCCAGGCCACGUGAAAGACUGUCUCAAAAACCAGGGUGGACAGCAUCUAAGGAAUGAUGACUGAGGUUGACCUCUGGCCUCCACAUGUGCACGUACAUGUAUGUGCGCACACACUCAGCACACAUGUGGAACGCAAUCUGAGUAGCAAUGGUAGUCCUGAAGGGUUCUGUGGGUGCCAGGCCUUUGGUUAUUUUGUUCAGUCUCAGAUUCUUUUGCUUCCCUUGAAGGUAUCCAGUGGCCCUUGGCAGGAGUCUCAGAAUGAAAAGAAAACCUCUGUUCACACCCAGCACUUCAGAAUCCCUUGAGGAAUUUGACUUCAGUCUCUCCUGAAGGAUGUUAAAGCUGGUGCAUUAUUUUGGAGAUUCAACACCAGGGAGCCUAGAGAGCAGAACACGAUCUGCUCAGCCAACUCCUUUUAAUGCUUUGCCUAAAAAGGAGUUCUCACCCAGCCUUGCUGCAGAGGGAAAUGGCUGACUGCCCCAGAGGUUCCUGACACGGAGCUUUCGGGGGAAAUGGUGGCAUCAGCUUUACACUUCGGGAGCUUGAGGGUCCUGCCUGGCAGCAGCUGUCCAACACGAAGCUUCUUUCGCAAAAGCAGAUGUCAAAGGGAGAGCUGGAUUAUUCUGUAAACGGUCCUCUGGCUGGUGUGCUAUGAUGAGGCAGUCCUAACAAAUAUUUGCAUGGAGGAAGUAUGACAAUUUUCAUAGGUCUAUGACUGGAAAGACAUGGAAG
Molecule: non-coding RNA, 1097 nt
Organism: Peromyscus maniculatus bairdii (prairie deer mouse)
Lineage: Eukaryota; Metazoa; Chordata; Mammalia; Rodentia; Cricetidae
Source: RefSeq, a predicted model, not a curated record